RNAcentral lists this unclassified non-coding RNA (250 nucleotides) under Clypeoloculus microsporus. RNAcentral describes it as "partial contains 5.8S ribosomal RNA, internal transcribed spacer 2, and large subunit ribosomal RNA". The record is from RNAcentral. Lineage: Eukaryota; Fungi; Ascomycota; Dothideomycetes; Pleosporales; Morosphaeriaceae.
CGCACAUUGCGCCCCUUGGUAUUCCAUUGGGCAUGCCUGUUCGAGCGUCAUUUACCCCCUCAAGCGCUGCUUGGUGUUGGGCGUCUGUUCCCUCGAAGAAGCGAGAGAACUCGCCCCAAAUACAUUGGCAGCAACUCCGCCAGCUUCUCGCGCAGCACCUUGCGCCCAAGAAGACUAUUGGUAGGACAUGCAUCCAUAAGAACCCCACUAUUUUGACCUCGAAUCAGGUGGGGAUACCCGCUGAACUUAA